GGGCCCGCACAAGUGGUGGAGCAUGUGGUUUAAUUCGAUGCAACGCGCAGAACCUUACCCAGCCUUGACAUCUUUCGAACUUUCCCGAAAGGGAUUGGUGCUACCGCAAGGUAGAACGAAAUGACAGGUGCUGCAUGGCUGUCGUCAGCUCGUGCCGUGAGGUGUUCGGUUAAGUCCGGCAACGAGCGCAACCCCUAUCGCUAGUUACCAGCAUUCAGUUGGGGACUCUAGCGAGACUGCCGGUGACAAACCGGAGGAAGGUGGGGACGACGUCAAGUCCGCAUGGCCCUUAUGGCUGGGGCUACACACGUGCUACAAUGGCAUCUACAGAGGGAAGCAAAUCCGCGAGGUGGAGCAAAUCCCAUAAAAGAUGCCUCAGUUCGGAUUGGAGUCUGCAACUCGACUCCAUG
Molecule: ribosomal RNA, 410 nt
Filed under: uncultured bacterium
Lineage: Bacteria
Description: bacterial SSU rRNA
Rfam family: Bacterial small subunit ribosomal RNA
Source: RNAcentral